RNA transcript from Lycium ferocissimum, 2072 nucleotides. RefSeq lists it as uncharacterized. The record is from RefSeq and is a predicted model, not a curated record. Lineage: Eukaryota; Viridiplantae; Streptophyta; Magnoliopsida; Solanales; Solanaceae. The transcript has 4 exons.
AAAAGCUACACUUUUACGGCAAUAAACAGAAAUAGCCAGGAAAAUAUCAAACUUUUAUUCUUUCUAAUCUUCCCUCCAAGAGUAAACCCUAUGUUUUCCAUUUCCCUCUCUCUUCACUCACUCCUCCCGCCUCCUUGUCAUUCUUUUUGGUUCUCUUCUUUUCUUUCGUCUAAAUCAUCUCAGGAUCCCCUCGCCCAACGAAGAAAUUGGCAAUCAAGAGGGAAGAAAAAGGAUGAACAAUUUGACAUUAUUAGCGAAGCUCGAUUAACCGUUCAUAUAUCGAGACAGACCUUCUACCUUACCACUAUUACCAGCAUCUCCGUCACAGUGGGUUACUUGUCUGGAAUACAACCUGGUACAAGGGAGCCGUUAAUGGUAACGGAAGGUCUAAUUUGGCUCAUGGGUGAGGCCGUAUAAACACAAUAGAAUUCCGCUUGUAGUUUUAUUGGUUGUUUCUCAGUGAAGAAGAGGUAGCAAGGUACAAGAAAUAACUGUUCUUAAUUUUGUUUUCGUUUUUAAUUUUGGUGUUUGUUACUUACUUCCCUAUUAUAAUAAUAGGAGAAUGGUUUAAUUCUGAUUCAUUUGUUUUUUUUACUAUAACUGUGAUGAGAUUUGAUUUUGAUUCAUUUAUAUAUACAAUAUUACUUUUGAGGUUGCUUUAGAAGACAAAUUUAAGAAGCUUAUUCACUGUUUGAUAAAAUGUUACAUAGAGAUAUAUUACAUGGAUAAUAAUAAUUAAUGAGUGUGGUGUUUUACAAACUGUUUUAAAAAAUCUUUGAAAUAUGAAUUAUCAUUUCUGGACAUUCGUAGGUUGAGAAGUUUUAAAUUCAUUGUCCUUGGGUUAGAUUAGAGUCGUUUCACGACUUUUAAAAGUAAAAUCUCAGGGAUAGGAGAAAUAGAGCAUAAGCAGAUGAAUACAGUAGAGUACGUAGAAGAGGUUCUCUUAUGCUUGGUAUGUCACUGCUUUGUUGUUUGGGUCAGAAAGCUCACAAUGGAAAACUUGUAGGAUCUUAUAGUAGAGUCUGAUAUUUUUCUUCUGAUAGUUGUAGCGUAAUUUAUCUUAUUCAAUCAUAAAAUUAGAGGAGCUUAUACCAGAGUAUGAUUUUUUCUUCUGAUAGUUAUAGAGUAUUUUAUCUUAUUCAUUUGUUUAUUUUGGGUAAAAUUGGUGGUAAUCUCUUCAUAAACAAUUGCCAGGGGCUGUAGAGUUUGUUUUCUAGUUUACCUUUCUUUGUUUAGACUAUUUAACUUCUAUUAAAGUUUCUUGUUCUCUAUAUUGGCUUAAUUGCCAAGACAAAUUAUAAUCUUAAUAAUAAUGAUCGUAUGCUUGCAACCUUGUGAUUGAUUUGUUAACAUGCGUAAAUAGACAACCCAUGUUUAGAUUAGUAUUGCCAUCCCUCAAUUUGUGUGUCUCUUGUUUCUCUAAAGCUGGCAAAUGGUAAAUGUAAUAGUGUUUGGACAAGUUUCUUUCAUUUAAGGAAAUAAAAGAUCUAGUAGUUUAUGUUUCUUUUAACUCUCUGUUCCUAGUCGUGAAUUCAUAUGUACGGAAUAUAUAGCUGUUUUGCAAAGUAGUUGUUUGCAUCUUGUCUCUUAUACUCUGUAUGUGUCCUGACUCACACACUUACCCGCUACCUCCCUUUUUUUCUAAUUUUUUUCGAUGCAUAUGAAAAAACUACGACCUUUCUCUGGGGUCUGCCUGAGUGGUUGUUACAUGGACCACGAGCUUUUGCACGCUGAGUCCCUAUGGAGUUCGUGUUAUUGAAGGAUUCGGAUGGGAGCUUCUUGUGUGUGAUCUAAACCAACUAGACUGCUUGAUCUUCCAUUUGGUCAUACAAUAUGAUGUUCAAAUAGCAUGUGGGAUAUUUCAAUACUAUGAAGAGUUGUGGGAAUUGUUUGAGGCUAUGCAUUUAGAAGUUUUUUAUUGCGGGUAUUCGGUAGAAGCAGUAACAAUGACAUUAGCUGCUUAGUUUAAACAUGUAAUAUUAUCUUUUAAUUCAUUGAUACAUUAGUAUUAUGAAUUAGUACUUGGUUUUGUUUGUUGGUAUUCAAUGAAAUAUGUUCUGUUUUAACAUUUU